CGGGGAUGAGACCCCACCUCUGAGCGUUCCAUAACAAUCCAAGAGCGGCAAAGCAGGAGAGCGACCCAUGCCAGGUCUCCGGGCCAGAGAAACCAAGAAAGGACCUCAGCAGCCAGUCCCAGGUGAGAGGACUAACUCCUUCCUCCACCUUGCAGUGACAGGCUUUGUGGAAAAACUGGAGACAUCUCCCUUCUGGGAAGAAGCCAGAUCCAGGGUCAUCACACCCAGCUGCACAGGUCGUGCACUGCACAACUCUCAGGGUACCUGCCACAGAGACUAUGAUGCAAAGGAUGUUCCCUGGUUUUGUAUCCAGAAGCUGAAAGGUCCAGCUAAAAGGCUCAGCCACAGAACAGCCCCCACCUGCCUCCUCCCUUGGGCUGGAAAGGAGUGCUUCAGAUCCACCUGGUUACUCCAAGUGGUCUCUGCUGGGGCAGGGAUGUGCCUGAGCCGGCAAGGAGCUUAGUGCAGAAGGGCCCUCCGCAAACCUUCCCACGGCCC
Molecule: long non-coding RNA, 498 nt
Filed under: Dasypus novemcinctus (nine-banded armadillo)
Lineage: Eukaryota; Metazoa; Chordata; Mammalia; Cingulata; Dasypodidae
Description: lncRNA (ENSDNOG00000052860.1)
Source: RNAcentral